This 1473-nucleotide ribosomal RNA is filed under the name uncultured bacterium. Its description in RNAcentral is "bacterial SSU rRNA". It matches the Rfam family "Bacterial small subunit ribosomal RNA". The record is from RNAcentral.
AACGAACGCUGGCGGCGUGGAUAAGACAUGCAAGUCGAACGAUAUCAGUGGGGUAGCAAUAUUCCACUGGUAGAGUGGCGGAAGGGUGCGUAACACGUGGGAAAUUUACCGUAAAGACUGGGAUAACUCGCUGAAAGGCGAGCUAAUACCGGAUGUGACCUUCUUGGGAAGCUCAAGAAGUUUAAAGCUGGGGACCGCAAGGCCUGGCGCUAUACGAUAAGCCCGCGGCCUAUCAGCUAGUUGGCGAGGUAAAAGCUCACCAAGGCUAAGACGGGUAGCUGGUCUGAGAGGACGACCAGUCACACUGGAACUGAGACACGGUCCAGACACCUACGGGUGGCAGCAGUCGAGAAUUUUUCUCAAUGGGCGAAAGCCUGAAGGAGCGACGCCGCGUGGGGGAGGAAUGGCUUCGGCCCGUAAACCCCUGUCAUUUGUGAACAAACGGUGCCUGAUAAUACGAGGCAUCCUGAUUGUAGCAGAAGAGGAAGGGACGGCUAACUCUGUGCCAGCAGCCGCGGUAAUACAGAGGUCCCAAGCGUUGUUCGGAUUCACUGGGCGUAAAGGGUGCGUAGGCGGUUAGAAUAGUCUGUCGUGAAAUCUCUGAGCUUAACUCAGAAAUUGCGAUGGAUACUGUCUAACUAGAGAGUUGGGGGGGGGGCUGGAAUUCUCGGUGUAGCAGUGAAAUGCGUAGAUAUCGAGAGGAACACCAGUGGCGAAGGCGAGCCCCUAAACAACCACUGACGCUGAGGCACGAAAGCUAGGGGAGCAAACAGGAUUAGAUACCCUGGUAGUCCUAGCUGUAAACUGUGCAUGUUUGCUGUAAGCAGAAUUAACCCUGCUUUUAGCGAAGCUAACGCGAUAAACAUGCCGCCUGGGAAGUACGGUCGCAAGAUUAAAACUCAAAGAAAUUGACGGGGGCCUGCACAAGCGGUGGAGUAUGUGGCUUAAUUCGAUGCAACGCGAAGAACCUUACCUGGCCUUGACAUGCAAGUAGUAGAAUGGUGAAAGCCAGACGAGGUAGCAAUACCAGCUUGCACAGGUGCUGCAUGGCUGUCGUCAGUUCGUGUCGUGAGAUGUUGGGUUAAGUCCCGCAACGAGCGCAACCCCUAUGUCCUGUUGCGAACUGGUUCGCUAAGGCACUCCGGACAGACUGCCUCGCCAAAACGAGGAGGAAGGUGGGGAUGACGUCAAGUCAGUAUGGCCCUUACGGCCAGGGCUGCACACGUACUACAACGCCUAUGGCAAAGGGAAGCAAGGCCGCGAGGCUGAGCAAAUCCUCAAUCAUAGGCCCAGUUCAGAUUGCUGACUGCAACUCGUCAGCAUGAAGCCGGAAUCGCUAGUAAUGGCACAUCAGCUACGGUGCCGUGAAUACGUUCCCAGGCCUUGUACACACCGCCCGUCACAUCAUGAAAGCUGGUCGUAUCCAAAAACUGACUGUUAAAGUGGUUCAAGGUAUGGCCGGUGAUUGGGAUG